GAUGGGCAUGCGUUGUAUUAGCUGGUUGGUGAGGUAACGGCUCACCAAGGCGACGAUACAUAGGGGGACUGAGAGGUUAACCCCCCACAUUGGUACUGAGACACGGACCAAACUCCUACGGGAGGCAGCAGUGAGGAAUAUUGGUCAAUGGACGCAAGUCUGAACCAGCCAUGCCGCGUGCAGGAAGACGGCUCUAUGAGUUGUAAACUGCUUUUGUACGAGGGUAAAUGCAGGUACGUGUAUCUGUUUGAAAGUAUCGUACGAAUAAGGAUCGGCUAACUCCGUGCCAGCAGCCGCGGUAAUACGGAGGAUCCAAGCGUUAUCCGGAUUUAUUGGGUUUAAAGGGUGCGUAGGCGGUUUUAUAAGUUAGAGGUGAAAUCUCGGGGCUCAACUCCGAAAUUGCCUCUAAUACUGUAGGACUAGAGAGUAGUUGCGGUAGGCGGAAUGUAUGGUGUAGCGGUGAAAUGCUUAGAGAUCAUACAGAACACCGAUUGCGAAGGCAGCUUACCAAACUAUAUCUGACGUUGAGGCACGAAAGCGUGGGGAGCAAACAGGAUUAGAUACCCUGGUAGUCCACGCAGUAAACGAUGAUAACUCGUUGUCGGCGAUACACAGUCGGUG
Molecule: ribosomal RNA, 621 nt
Filed under: uncultured bacterium
Lineage: Bacteria
Description: bacterial SSU rRNA
Rfam family: Bacterial small subunit ribosomal RNA
Source: RNAcentral